CCGGCAUCCUCCUCCUUUGUCUUUAGCUGAAGAUGGUAUUUAAGAUGAGAGCCUCCACCAUUUUGGACUCUUGGACCUUGCAGGAUGUGGCUGUAUACGUCACCAAAGGCGAAUGGAGUUGCUGUACCAGGGUCAGAGGGCUGUCUUUAGAGAAUGUCAUGCUGGAGAAUUACAGGAACACGGUUUUACUGGCUAAGGAUUCUGCCAUCUAGAGAGGAGGCCUUUUGAGUUUCUGUUGUAAUUAAUAUUUAUUGCUUUAAGAACCACAACUCUUAAUUUAGCCAUAUUUUGAGUGUAAGUUCCAUUUUGUUGAUGUUAGUGGGGAGGGGAUGGGGUAUACACUGGGCUGCAAAGAAAAAGGAGAGGCUGUGAGUAAUGAUCCAGGUCUUUUAACCAGAGUUGCCCCAAUAAGGGACACGUUCUAACUGGGUAACUUUGGAUGCGAGCAGGUCAGUUUGUCUUAAGCUUGGCUAACUAGUAAUCAACCCAAACAGAGAUAUAUUGACGUUCUAAUUUUAGUUCAAUGUAAAAUAUUUAUUUCAUGAUAGGUUUUUUACAUGGGUUUUUUUUUUUCAUCUUUUUGGCUUUGCUGUGUUUAUAGAUGUCUUUUUAUUAUGGUAGCUGCUGCUUCCUUUUUUGCUCUGUUAAACAUUUCAAGCAUAAAAUUGGAAAAAAAAAAAAAGAUCCUUGGAUAUUUGAAAGUAGGUAAAACUGAAAACGGUUCCUAAAAGGAUAGUUAACGCUCAAAAAGGGAUAAGCUCUGUAUGUCUGUUACUGAAACA
This 782-nucleotide long non-coding RNA is filed under the name Equus asinus (donkey). RNAcentral describes it as "lncRNA (ENSEASG00005034709.1)". Lineage: Eukaryota; Metazoa; Chordata; Mammalia; Perissodactyla; Equidae. The record is from RNAcentral.